RNAcentral lists this ribosomal RNA (433 nucleotides) under uncultured bacterium. RNAcentral's name for it is "partial 16S ribosomal RNA". It matches the Rfam family "Bacterial small subunit ribosomal RNA", at positions 29 to 507 of the family's 1533-position model. The record is from RNAcentral.
AACGAACGCUGGCGGCAUGCCUAACACAUGCAAGUCGAACGAUGCCUUCGGGCAUAGUGGCGCACGGGUGCGUAACGCGUGGGAAUCUGCCUUUCGGUUCGGAAUAACUCAGGGAAACUUGAGCUAAUACCGGAUAACGUCGCAAGACCAAAGAUUUAUCACCGAAGGAUGGGCCCGCGUAGGAUUAGCUAGUUGGUGAGGUAAUGGCUCACCAAGGCGACGAUCCUUAGCUGGUCUGAGAGGAUGAUUAGCCACACUGGGACUGAGACACGGCCCGGACUCCUACGGGAUGCAGCAGUGGGGAAUAUUGGACAAUGGGGGAAAGCCUGAUCCAGCAAUGCCGCGUGAGUGAUGAAGGCCUUAGGGUUGUAAAGCUCUUUUACCCGGGAAGAUAAUGACGGUACCGGGAGAAUAAGCCCCGGCUAACUCCGUG